AACGAAGGGGGCUAGCGUUGUUCGGAAUUACUGGGCGUAAAGCGCACGUAGGCGGAUUUGUUAGUCAGGGGUGAAAUCCCGGGGCUCAACCUCGGAACUGCCUUUGAUACUGCAAGUCUAGAGUCCGGAAGAGGUGAGUGGAAUUCCUAGUGUAGAGGUGAAAUUCGUAGAGAUUAGGAGGAACACCAGUGGCGAAGGCGGCUCACUGGUCCGGUACUGACGCUGAGGUGCGAAAGAGUGGGGAGCAAACAGG
Molecule: ribosomal RNA, 253 nt
Filed under: uncultured bacterium
Lineage: Bacteria
Description: partial 16S ribosomal RNA
Rfam family: Bacterial small subunit ribosomal RNA
Source: RNAcentral